UACGUAGGUGGCGAGCGUUGUCCGGAAUUACUGGGCGUAAAGGGCGCGUAGGCGGCUCUUUAAGUCAGAUGUGAAAACCCGAGGCUUAACUUCGGGAGUGCAUUUGAAACUGGAGGGCUUGAGUGCAGGAGAGGUAAGUGGAAUUCCUAGUGUAGCGGUGAAAUGCGUAGAUAUUAGGAGGAACACCAGUGGCGAAGGCGACUUACUGGACUGUAACUGACGCUGAGGCGCGAAAGCGUGGGGAG
RNAcentral lists this ribosomal RNA (245 nucleotides) under uncultured Gracilibacter sp. Its description in RNAcentral is "partial 16S ribosomal RNA". It matches the Rfam family "Bacterial small subunit ribosomal RNA", at positions 524 to 768 of the family's 1533-position model. Lineage: Bacteria; Bacillati; Bacillota; Clostridia; Eubacteriales; Gracilibacteraceae. The record is from RNAcentral.